Long non-coding RNA from Monodelphis domestica (gray short-tailed opossum), 641 nucleotides. NCBI's taxonomy places the organism in Eukaryota, Metazoa, Chordata, Mammalia, Didelphimorphia, Didelphidae. The record is from Ensembl.
AUAAAAAGGAAACAAGAAAGAGAAAUCAAAAGACAUCAAUGAGGGCAAACUGUACAUCCCUACAUGUGGAAAUACUCCUUGUAACUCUAAAGAACUUUGUCAGUAUUGGGGCAGUUAAAAGAAUUAUACAUAGACAGAGGACAAAGGUGAGGAAACAGAAGCCCAUGGAGUUUGGAGAGAGCACACCUGAAAAGAAGAGCAAAGAACAAUUCCUGGGUCCAGGACUCAAUCCACAAUGCUUGAGCCUCUCUUUCCUCUGGUAAAAUGGAGGGAUUUGUCUACAUGGCUGAUGAGGUUCCUUCCAGAUAUGGUCUAUGGUCUAUGAACACCUGGGUUGAGGUAAGGUCUUGUGACAAUGAAAUCACUUUAAAAGACUGAUAUAUAUUAAUUUAAGGUCACCAAGGAAUUCAGCUAUGUAAUUCCUAAAUGAAAACUCAAGUCAGUAGUCAGCCUUUUAUGGAGUUUAAUUACAAACAGGAGGAAGAAAGGUAUUAGAGAUAGAGAGAGAGAGGGAGAGAAGGGAAUAGGGCUUAAAUAACCCCUUCUGUUUAGGCUGGGCCAAAAGGCCCAAGCCCUUAGAUAGCUGGGGCAAAGAAAGGAGAUCAGUCCCUAUCACUCACGUGACCAAAAUGGAGAAAUAG